CGGACGGGUGAGUAAUGCUUGGGAAUCUGGCUUAUGGAGGGGGAUAACUACGGGAAACUGUAGCUAAUACCGCGUAGUGUCGAGAGACGAAAGGGUGGGACCUUCGGGCCACCUGCCAUAAGAUGAGCCCAAGUGGGAUUAGGUAGUUGGUGGGGUAAAGGCCUACCAAGCCGACGAUCUCUAGCUGGUCUGAGAGGAUGACCAGCCACACUGGAACUGAGACACGGUCCAGACUCCUACGGGAGGCAGCAGUGGGGAAUAUUGCACAAUGGGGGGAACCCUGAUGCAGCCAUGCCGCGUGAAUGAAGAAGGCCUUCGGGUUGUAAAGUUCUUUCGGUGAUGAGGAAGGUGUUUGUUUUAAUAGAACAAGCAAUUGACGUUAGUCACAGAAGAAGCACCGGCUAACUCCGUGCCAGCAGCCGCGGUAAUACGGAGGGUGCGAGCGUUAAUCGGAAUGACUGGGCGUAAAGGGCACGCAGGCGGUGACUUAAGUGAGAUGUGAAAGCCCCGGGCUUAACCUGGGAAUUGCAUUUCAUACUGGGUCGCUAGAGUAUUUUAGGGAGGGGUAGAAUUCCACGUGUAGCGGUGAAAUGCGUAGAGAUGUGGAGGAAUACCGAAGGCGAAGGCAGCCCCUUGGGAAUAUACUGACGCUCAUGUGCGAAAGCGUGGGGAGCAAACAGGAUUAGAUACCCUGGUAGUCCACGCUGUAAACGCUGUCGAUUUGGGGAUUGGGCUUUAAGCUUGGUGCCCGUAGCUAACGUG
Molecule: ribosomal RNA, 762 nt
Filed under: uncultured Actinobacillus sp.
Lineage: Bacteria; Pseudomonadati; Pseudomonadota; Gammaproteobacteria; Pasteurellales; Pasteurellaceae
Description: bacterial SSU rRNA
Rfam family: Bacterial small subunit ribosomal RNA
Source: RNAcentral